This 335-nucleotide ribosomal RNA is filed under the name uncultured bacterium. RNAcentral describes it as "bacterial SSU rRNA". It matches the Rfam family "Bacterial small subunit ribosomal RNA", at positions 111 to 429 of the family's 1533-position model. The record is from RNAcentral.
UAACACGUAAACAACCUGCCUUCAGGAUGGGGACAACAGACGGAAACGACUGCUAAUACCGAAUAAGUUCCAAGAGCCGCAUGGCCCAUGGAAGAAAAGGUGGCCUCUACCUGUAAGCUAUCGCCUGAAGAGGGGUUUGCGUCUGAUUAGCUGGUUGGAGGGGUAACGGCCCACCAAGGCGACGAUCAGUAGCCGGUCUGAGAGGAUGAACGGCCACACUGGAACUGAGACACGGUCCAGACUCCUACGGGAGGCAGCAGUGGGGAAUCUUCCGCAAUGGGCGAAAGCCUGACGGAGCAACGCCGCGUGAGUGAUGACGGCCUUCGGGUUGUAAA